CUGUCGGUGGGGAGGAAGACUUCUGAGCAGCCUUCUUCAUCAGAACAGGGCUGUGAAUCUGCAAAGCCUGAGACCCGGGUUAGAAAAGAAACUCUUAGCCUGGGCCUGCUUCAUGGGGUAGGAUCUGUGUGGUUGAGCCCUCCCCACCCCUGUGCCUAGAAGAGCCCUGGGCUUCCUUGAACGGUCUCUCUGCCCCUUGAAGCCAGGUUGUACAUUUUGGUGGGGCAAGGACUGUCUUUAAAUCCUUUGAAUUUCCCAUGGAACUCAGCCCAAGGAUGUAUCAGUAAAGUGCUGAGGAGGAAAAGAGGCUCUAUUCUUCAUCUAGAAGAGCAAUGGAAGGAAAAUAGGCUGGAGUUUGUGAAGUGCCUACACUA
Long non-coding RNA from Lontra canadensis (Northern American river otter), 374 nucleotides. RefSeq lists it as uncharacterized. The transcript has 3 exons. The record is from RefSeq and is a predicted model, not a curated record. NCBI's taxonomy places the organism in Eukaryota, Metazoa, Chordata, Mammalia, Carnivora, Mustelidae.